AACAAUUAAGGUGCAUCAUUUUAAGACUUAAGGUGCGCCAUUUUAACACUUAAGGUGCGCCAUUUUAACACUUAAGGUGCAUCAUUUUAAGACUUAAG
Ipomoea nil (Japanese morning glory) is the source of this 98-nucleotide long non-coding RNA. RefSeq lists it as uncharacterized. Lineage: Eukaryota; Viridiplantae; Streptophyta; Magnoliopsida; Solanales; Convolvulaceae. The transcript has 3 exons. The record is from RefSeq and is a predicted model, not a curated record.